Molecule: long non-coding RNA, 1587 nt
Organism: Heterocephalus glaber (naked mole-rat)
Lineage: Eukaryota; Metazoa; Chordata; Mammalia; Rodentia; Bathyergidae
Source: RefSeq, a predicted model, not a curated record
CUGUUUAGUCUCCAUAUAUACUGUGGAGGCCAAGUGACUUCCUAAAAGAAAGAUGAAAUUGUAGCCACUAACAUAAUCUAGGGUUCAUGGCUUUAAAUGAGAACAAAAUAAUAAUAAGGAACAGUUAUUGAUCUCUUACUGUAUGCCUGGCUCUUGGUUAAAUUAUGUGCAUUAUCUGAUUUAAUCUUCAUGUGAGAAUCACAAAGAUCCUUAUAAGAGGGACACAGGAAUCAUCAGAGCCAGAAGAGGAGGGAGUGUGAUAACAGAAGCAGAGAAUGGAGUGACACACUUAAAGGUAGAAGAAGGGACCAUAAGACUCUACAUGGCCACUCCAAGCUAAAAAAAGAAAGUAGCAGAUGCUCUCCUCAGUCUCUAAAAAGAAACAAGCUUGAAUGACACAUUGACUUUAGCUCAGUUGUGUAGUCAGCUUUCCUUUACUCUACAAAAAAAUCUGAGAUUGUACACCUAUGCCAGUCCAUGUAUCUGUGGCAAAGCCUCCUCACCGUGCUGGGACUCUCACACCUGGCUCGAGCAUCCUUCUUACCUGGGGGCUCUCCUUAGCCUCUUAGCCCGUGUUACCCUCUGUGCCAAGGAGACAGCCCACCCUGGGCUGCUGCCUUCACUCCAGAGCGGCCCAACACUCUCUGCCCUACUGGUUUCAGGACUGAACUGUUCCAGUAAAAAAGGAAAAGAGGAAGAGAAAGGAGAAGAGGAAUAUUUGCUUUCUUAGGACCAGAUCAUCACCAUGACAAAUUCUUAGUCAACUCCUAAGUUAAUGGAAGAGCUGGCUUCCGAUCAAGUUUAUUUUGGAAACCAUUUCUGAGCAAUGAUGACAAAGAUCUUCGGUGGAUAUGGGUCCAGAUAGAACCUAGGAAGCCUGGCAUCUGGUCUUGCCUUGCACUUUACCAGUUGUGUGAAGCCUAUUGUUCUACCUCUAGUCCUUUGUACAGUAGAGUGAUAAAUAAAUAUAUCAAUUAAGUAAUAAAUAGGAUGCCUGAUAUGAGUCCCUUUUUCUGUUUAUAUAAAAUAGAGAUAGUUUUUAUGAGGAUGAAGAGAGAUAAGGUAUUUUGAAAUGUCCUGAAAACUAUAAAAACCAUGUUAAUAUUGCAUUUUUAUAAGAAAAAUAUCUUUUCAGGAAAUAUCCUUGUAUUGCAAAUUUUUGGUAGGGCAAUCCUACUUUCUUAUGACUCACAAAAUUGAUGUGAAUAAAAUAUACCCAAUACACAGAACUGAAAAUGUGUGCUGGGAAAAUAAAACCCAGGAAGCCUGGGAGGGGGCAGCAGCAUACAGUCACAGCAUGCCGGACGUUAUAAAGCCAGAGCCCCGUAAGCCGCACUUUGAAGAACUUCUGAUUUAAUUUAAUUCAGUGUGCUUACUUACUGACCCUCUCCCUUUAAAUACUGUGAAAGCCUAAUAACUCCACCCUUAAAUUUACUUCUCUUUAUCUUCUCUGUCGAAAUUUCCUCUCUGUUCUGAUACCCUUUAGCGGUCUCCAGGACUUCCCUUUUCUUUACUGCCUACUGUCCAGAUGUGUGUGGUAUCUAAUUAUACUGUUAUUUUGAGCAAAAGACCCUGACUAAAUAGGAU